GAUCAUGGGCUCAGGAUGAACGCUAGCUACAGGCUUAACACAUGCAGGUCGAGGGGCAGCAUGGUCUUAGCUUGCUAAGGCCGAUGGCGACCGGCGCACGGGUGAGUAACACGUAUCCAACCUGCCGUCUACUCUUGGACAGCCUUCUGAAAGGAAGAUUAAUACAAGAUGGCAUCAUGAGUCCGCAUGUUCACAUGAUUAAAGGUAUUCCGGUAGACGAUGGGG
This 225-nucleotide ribosomal RNA is filed under the name uncultured bacterium. RNAcentral's name for it is "partial 16S ribosomal RNA". It matches the Rfam family "Bacterial small subunit ribosomal RNA", at positions 15 to 230 of the family's 1533-position model. The record is from RNAcentral.